This 64-nucleotide transfer RNA is filed under the name bovine gut metagenome. It matches the Rfam family "tRNA", at positions 5 to 66 of the family's 71-position model. Rfam says of the family: Transfer RNA (tRNA) molecules are approximately 80 nucleotides in length. Their secondary structure includes four short double-helical elements and three loops (D, anti-codon, and T loops). The record is from RNAcentral.
CCAUAGCUCAGUAGGUAGAGCGGAUGGCUGUUAACCAUUAGGUCGGAGGUUCGAGUCCUUCUGG